Non-coding RNA from Salvelinus sp. IW2-2015, 591 nucleotides. The record is from RefSeq and is a predicted model, not a curated record. Lineage: Eukaryota; Metazoa; Chordata; Actinopteri; Salmoniformes; Salmonidae.
GACGUAAUGAUGUCUAUCUCCAGAGAUUGCUGUCAGCCCCAACAGCAGUGUGGUGAUCAUCUAUGAAAGAAGGGGAACGAGUGGGCCAAGAUCCACGAGCUGACUGAGCACAGUGGACGAAUCACAGGCGUCGACUGGGCUCCGGAUUCGAACCGCAUCGUGACGUGUGCAUCGGACCGUAAUGCGUACGUGUGGACCCUGAAGACAAAGUGUGUGAAGCCCACUCUUGUGUUGGUGAGGAUCAACCGGGCUGCUACCUUUGUCAAGUGGUCCCCUCUGGAGAAUAAGUUUGCCCUGGCAGCGGAGCUCGCCUCAUCUCUGUCUGCUACUUUCGAGAAGGAGAACGACUGGUGGCUCAGUAAGCACAUAAAGAAGAGCAUCCGCGUCCACGGUGAUGUGUCUGGACUGGCACCCCAACAACAUCCUGUUUGGCUGCAGGAUCCUCUGACUUCCAUUGCAGGUCAGAACCAACAGAUAGUAACUGUUCUCUAAGGCUUCCACUGCAGGUCAGAACCAACAGAUAGUAACUGUCUCUAAGGCUUCCACUGCAGGUCAGAACCAACAGAUAGUACCUGUCUCUAAGGCUUCCAC